Molecule: transfer RNA, 61 nt
Filed under: Pohlia bolanderi
Lineage: Eukaryota; Viridiplantae; Streptophyta; Bryopsida; Bryales; Mniaceae
Description: partial tRNA-Leu
Source: RNAcentral
GCUACGGACUUGAAAAUCCGUUGGCUUUAUUGACCGUGAGGUUCAAGUCCCUCUACCCCCA